Molecule: transfer RNA, 74 nt
Rfam family: tRNA
About the family: Transfer RNA (tRNA) molecules are approximately 80 nucleotides in length. Their secondary structure includes four short double-helical elements and three loops (D, anti-codon, and T loops).
GCAUGUAUAGCUCAACUGGAUAGAGCACUUGACUUCGGAUCAAGGGGUUGUGGGUUCAAGUCCUACUACGUGUG